GUGAGGAAUUUUGCGCAAUGGCCGCAAGGCUGACGCAGCAACGCCGCGUGGGUGAUGAAGGCCUUCGGGUCGUAAAGCCCUGUCAGGUGGGAAGAAAGGCUUGGAGAAGCAACGCUUUGAGUUUGACGGUACCACCAGAGGAAGCACCGGCUAACUCCGUGCCAGCAGCCGCGGUAAUACGGAGGGUGCGAGCGUUAUUCGGAAUUACUGGGCGUAAAGCGCGUGUAGGCGGGGAUGCAAGUCUGAUGUGAAAGCCCUGGGCUUAACCUGGGAAGUGCAUUGGAAACUGCAUUUCUUGAGUACUGGAGAGGAAGGGGGAAUUCCCGGUGUAGAGGUGAAAUUCGUAGAGAUCGGGAGGAAUACCAGUGGCGUAGGCGCCCUUCUGGACGGUAACUGACGCUGAGACGCGAAAGCGUGGGGAGCAAACAGGAUUAGAAACCCUUGUAGUAC
This 450-nucleotide ribosomal RNA is filed under the name uncultured bacterium. RNAcentral's name for it is "partial 16S ribosomal RNA". It matches the Rfam family "Bacterial small subunit ribosomal RNA", at positions 354 to 796 of the family's 1533-position model. The record is from RNAcentral.